GGGGAUGUAGCUCCAUGGUAGAGCACUUGCCUAGCAUGUUUGUGGGCCUAGGUUCAAUCCCCUAGCACUGUCA
RNAcentral lists this transfer RNA (73 nucleotides) under Urocitellus parryii (Arctic ground squirrel). RNAcentral's name for it is "Spermophilus parryii (Arctic ground squirrel) tRNA". It matches the Rfam family "tRNA". From Rfam's summary of the family: Transfer RNA (tRNA) molecules are approximately 80 nucleotides in length. Their secondary structure includes four short double-helical elements and three loops (D, anti-codon, and T loops). RNAcentral also lists the same sequence under 1 other name. Lineage: Eukaryota; Metazoa; Chordata; Mammalia; Rodentia; Sciuridae. The record is from Rfam by way of RNAcentral.